This 732-nucleotide long non-coding RNA is filed under the name Aquilegia coerulea. RNAcentral's name for it is "long non-coding RNA (ACOE_LNC001803)". Lineage: Eukaryota; Viridiplantae; Streptophyta; Magnoliopsida; Ranunculales; Ranunculaceae. The record is from RNAcentral.
UCAUAUCAUAUCAUCCUAAUCUCAGUCCAAUUGAAAUCUAUGCGGCAGAAAUUGUUUUUCACAACCAUCGUCCUACAUUAGCAACUUAAUUGUCAAUUGCAUAGUCAAGUUUACAAUUGUUUCAAUCUAAACACACACAUUUCUUUACAGAUAUCCACUAAGUAGUAUCCAUACAAGACUACGUACAUGUACAUAGUCUUGUAUGGAUACAAAAGCAUAGUAUUUGUAAUUUGUAAAACCAUUUUUCUUUGAAUUUCUAAUUUAUUUAUGCUUUUGUAUUGAAAAGUUGAAACCAUUUUAUUAAUUGAAUUACUGUAUUGAAAAGUUAAUAAAUAAAUUAGAAAUUCAAAGAAAAAAACUAAUAUUAUUUUACCUGAUGAUGAUUAUCGGAAUUAGCGACAUCGAAAAUUGAUGAUUCCAUAUUUUCCAAUGUAAUAUUACAAAUUCUUUGAGAUUGUUCAAGAAAUGGAGAGAUUUCCAUUGUUUGCCAAUCAUUAUCAAUCGUCGUCGUUGUUUCUUCAACGUUCACUAUUUUUUCUUCAUUCUUCACUGUUUCUUCAACAUUUUCAUUCUCAAUUGUUUCUUCCGUAGUAUUCUCUUCCAUCUGCAAGAGUUUUUUUUUUUUUUUUUUCCCGCUGCAAAUUGUUUGGCGGAAGAAGAAGAAGAUGUGUGCCCUAAAUUUGUUUAGGUUUGAGGCGGAUAUUCAUUUGGGGUGAACUUAUUCUAUCAAGG